Molecule: ribosomal RNA, 1486 nt
Filed under: metagenome
Description: bacterial SSU rRNA
Rfam family: Bacterial small subunit ribosomal RNA
Source: RNAcentral
GUUUGAUCCUGGCUCAGAUUGAACGCUGGCGGCAUGCCUUACACAUGCAAGUCGAACGGCAGCACGGGAGCAAUCCUGGUGGCGAGUGGCGAACGGGUGAGUAAUACAUCGGAACGUGCCCAGUUGUGGGGGAUAGCCCGGCGAAAGCCGGAUUAAUACCGCAUACGACCUACGGGUGAAAGCGGGGGAUCGCAAGACCUCGCGCAAUUGGAGCGGCCGAUGGCAGAUUAGCUUGUUGGUGGGGUAAAAGCCUACCAAGGCGACGAUCUGUAGCUGGUCUGAGAGGACGACCAGCCACACUGGGACUGAGACACGGCCCAGACUCCUACGGGAGGCAGCAGUGGGGAAUUUUGGACAAUGGGCGCAAGCCUGAUCCAGCCAUGCCGCGUGUGGGAAGAAGGCCUUCGGGUUGUAAACCACUUUUGUCAGGGAAGAAACGGUCUGAUCUAAUAAAUCGGACUAAUGACGGUACCUGAAGAAUAAGCACCGGCUAACUACGUGCCAGCAGCCGCGGUAAUACGUAGGGUGCAAGCGUUAAUCGGAAUUACUGGGCGUAAAGCGUGCGCAGGCGGCUAUGCAAGACAGAUGUGAAAUCCCCGGGCUCAACCUGGGAACUGCAUUUGUGACUGCAUGGCUAGAGUACGGCAGAGGGGGAUGGAAUUCCGCGUGUAGCAGUGAAAUGCGUAGAUAUGCGGAGGAACACCGAUGGCGAAGGCAAUCCCCUGGGCCUGUACUGACGCUCAUGCACGGAAGCGUGGGGAGCGAACAGGAUUAGAUACCCUGGUAGUCCACGCCCUAAACGAUGUCAACUGGUUGUUGGACGGCUUGCUGUUCAGUAACGAAGCUAACGCGUGAAGUUGACCGCCUGGGGAGUACGGCCGCAAGGUUGAAACUCAAAGGAAUUGACGGGGACCCGCACAAGCGGUGGAUGAUGUGGUUUAAUUCGAUGCAACGCGAAAAACCUUACCUACCCUUGACAUGUCUAGAAGUUUCCAGAGAUGGAUUCGUGCUCGAAAGAGAACUAGAACACAGGUGCUGCAUGGCCGUCGUCAGCUCGUGUCGUGAGAUGUUGGGUUAAGUCCCGCAACGAGCGCAACCCUUAUCAUUAGUUGCUACGCAAGGGCACUCUAAUGAGACUGCCGGUGACAAACCGGAGGAAGGUGGGGAUGACGUCAGGUCAUCAUGGCCCUUAUGGGUAGGGCUACACACGUCAUACAAUGGCCGGUACAGAGGGCUGCCAACUCGCGAGAGGGAGCUAAUCUCAGAAAACCGGUCGUAGUCCGGAUCGCAGUCUGCAACUCGACUGCGUGAAGUCGGAAUCGCUAGUAAUCGCGGAUCAGCUUGCCGCGGUGAAUACGUUCCCGGGUCUUGUACACACCGCCCGUCACACCAUGGGAGCGGGUUCUGCUAGAAGUAGUUAGCCUAACCGCAAGGAGGGCGAUUACCACGGCAGGGUUCGUGACUGGGGUGAAGUCGUAACAAGGUA